This 1608-nucleotide ribosomal RNA is filed under the name Clostridioides difficile. The record is from RNAcentral. Lineage: Bacteria; Bacillati; Bacillota; Clostridia; Peptostreptococcales; Peptostreptococcaceae.
GGAAUGGAUAAGCGCUGAAAGCAUCUAAGCGCGAAGCCAACUUCAAGAUAAGAUUUCCCACCGCAAGGGUAAGACCCCAGAAAGACUAUCUGGUUGAUAGGUCGAAGGUGUAAGUGCAGCAAUGUAUUUAGCUUAUCGAUACUAAUAGGUCGAGGACUUGACCAAGAUUUAUUUGAUGUUAUUCAUUAAGAUAUAUGUGUAGUUUUUAGAGUGUUAACUCUAUGUAAAGUACUAACUUCAAUUGAUGAAGUAUAUAUCGUAAAAACAAUUACUAUUUAGUACUUCAAAACUAUUGACAUUUAAAAAUAAAGAUGUUAAUAUAAUACUUGUCUUAUAAAUAGGCAAUAUGUGGUUAUAAUAGCAAAGAGGAUACACCUGUUCCCAUUCCGAACACAGAAGUUAAGCUCUUUAGCGCUGAUGGUACUUGGUGGGAAACUGCCUGGGAGAGUAGGACGUAGCCACGUGAAUAUUCCAAGGUAGCUCAAUGGUGGAGCAACCGGCUGUUAACCGGUAGGCUGUGGGUUCGAGCCCCACCCUUGGAGCCAAAAAAAGCCGAAGUGGCGGAACUGGCAGACGCACAGGACUUAAAAUCCUGCGGGACUUACCUCUCGUACCGGUUCGAUUCCGGUCUUCGGCACUUAUAAAACAAUAUCGCGGAGUGGAGCAGUUGGCAGCUCGUCGGGCUCAUAACCCGAAGGUCGUAGGUUCAAGUCCUGCCUCCGCAACCAUUAAAAUGGCUCGUUGGUCAAGAGGUUAAGACACCGCCCUUUCACGGCGGUAACAGGGGUUCAAUUCCCCUACGAGUCACCAAUUAAAUAUGCGGGUGUAGCUCAAUGGUAGAGUUCUGGCCUUCCAAGCCAGCUGUGAGGGUUCGAUCCCCUUCACCCGCUCCAAAAAUGGGACCAUAGCUCAGCUGGGAGANAUGAAUCUGGUCUUGGGACACUGUCAGGUGGGCAGUUUGACUGGGGCGGUCGCCUCCCAAAAGGUAACGGAGGCGCUCAAAGGUUCUCUCAGUACGGUCGGAAAUCGUACGUAGAGUGUAAAGGCAAAAGAGAGCUUGAUUGCAAGACAUACAGGUCGAGCAAGGAUGAAAAUCGGACUUAGUGAUCCGGUGGUUCUGCGUGGAAGGGCCAUCGCUCAACGGAUAAAAGCUACCCUGGGGAUAACAGGCUUAUCUCCCCCAAGAGUCCACAUCGACGGGGAGGUUUGGCACCUCGAUGUCGGCUCAUCACAUCCUGGGGCUGUAGUAGGUCCCAAGGGUUGGGCUGUUCGCCCAUUAAAGUGGUACGCGAGCUGGGUUCAGAACGUCGUGAGACAGUUCGGUCCCUAUCCGUCGCAGGCGUAGGAAAUUUGAGAAGACCUGUCCUUAGUACGAGAGGACCGGGAUGGACGUACCUCUGGUGUACCAGUUGUCCUGCCAAGGGCAUGGCUGGGUAGCUAUGUGCGGAAUGGAUAAGCGCUGAAAGCAUCUAAGCGCGAAGCCAACUUCAAGAUAAGAUUUCCCACCGCAAGGGUAAGACCCCAGAAAGACUAUCUGGUUGAUAGGUCGAAGGUGUAAGUGCAGCAAUGUAUUUAGCUUAUCGAUACUAAUAGGUCGAGGACUUGACC